AGCAGCCGCGGUAAUUCCAGCUCCAAUAGCGUAUAUUAAAGUUGCUGCAGUUAAAAAGCUCGUAGUUGAAUUUCGGGACUAAUAUGUUGGUCGUGCCUCGGUACGUACUGAUAUUUUUGGUUUCUCCCUUCUGACGAACCUUGAUGUCAUUAAUUUGGUGUCUUGGGAAAUCAGGACUGUUACUUUUGAAAAAUUAGAGUGUUUAAAGCAGGCUCACGCUUGAAUACAUUAGCAUGGAAUAAUGAAAUAGGACGUUUGAUUCUAUUUUGUU
Molecule: ribosomal RNA, 271 nt
Filed under: uncultured Glomus
Lineage: Eukaryota; Fungi; Glomeromycota; Glomeromycetes; Glomerales; Glomeraceae
Description: partial 18S ribosomal RNA
Rfam family: Eukaryotic small subunit ribosomal RNA
Source: RNAcentral